CAAGCAGCGGAGCGUGUGGUUUAAUUCGAUGUUACACGAAGAACCUUUACCAGGGUUUGACAUGCAAGUGGUAGGAAGCCGAAAGGUGACCGACCCUUCGGGGAGCUUGCACAGGUGCUGCAUGGCUGUCGUCAGCUCGUGUCGUGAGAUGUUCGGUUAAGUCCGCUAACGAGCGCAACCCUCGCUGUGUGUUAUAUGUGUCACACGGGACUGCCGGUCUUAAGCCGGAGGAAGGUGGGGAUGAUGUCAAGUCAGCAUGACCUUUAUAUCCAGGGCUACACACACGCUACAAUGGUCUGUACAAUGGGUAGCCAAGCCGCGAGGCGGAGCCAAUCCUGAAAGCAGGCCUCAGUUCAGAUUGCAGUCUGCAACUCGACUGCAUGAAGCCGGAGUUGCUAGUAACCGCAGGUCAGCAAUACUGCGGUGAAUACGUUCCCGGGUCUU
This 444-nucleotide ribosomal RNA is filed under the name uncultured Leptolinea sp. RNAcentral describes it as "bacterial SSU rRNA". It matches the Rfam family "Bacterial small subunit ribosomal RNA", at positions 926 to 1382 of the family's 1533-position model. Lineage: Bacteria; Bacillati; Chloroflexota; Anaerolineae; Anaerolineales; Anaerolineaceae. The record is from RNAcentral.